Molecule: ribosomal RNA, 380 nt
Filed under: uncultured eukaryote
Lineage: Eukaryota
Description: partial 18S ribosomal RNA
Rfam family: Eukaryotic small subunit ribosomal RNA
Source: RNAcentral
CAAUAGCGUAUAUUAAAGUUGUUGCGGUUAAAAAGCUCGUAGUUGGAUUUCUGCCGAGGACGACCGGUCCGCCCUCCGGGUGAGUAUCUGGCUCGGCCUGGGCAUCUUCUUGGAGAACGUAACUGCACUUGGCUGUGUGGUGCGGUAUUCAGGACUUUUACUUUGAGGAAAUUAGAGUGUUUCAAGCAGGCACACGCCUUGAAUACAUUAGCAUGGAAUAAUAAGAUAGGACCUCGGUUCUAUUUUGUUGGUUUCUAGAUCUGAGGUAAUGAUUAAUAGGGAUAGUUGGGGGCAUUCGUAUUUAACUGUCAGAGGUGAAAUUCUUGGAUUUAUGAAAGACGAACUUCUGCGAAAGCAUUUGUCAAGGAUGUUUUCAUUAA